RNAcentral lists this ribosomal RNA (713 nucleotides) under uncultured bacterium. RNAcentral's name for it is "bacterial SSU rRNA". It matches the Rfam family "Bacterial small subunit ribosomal RNA", at positions 92 to 801 of the family's 1533-position model. The record is from RNAcentral.
CGACCGGCAAACGGGUGCGGAACACGUACGCAACCUUCCUUAAAGUGGGGGAUAGCCCAGAGAAAUUUGGAUUAAUACCCCGUAAUAUUAUUGAAUGGCAUCAUUUAAUAAUUAAAGCUCCGGCGCUUAGAGAUGGGUGUGCGUCUGAUUAGGUAGUUGGUGAGGGUAACGGCCCACCAAGCCUGCGAUCAGUAACUGGUGUGAGAGCACGACCAGUCACACGGGCACUGAGACACGGGCCCGACUCCUACGGGAGGCAGCAGUAAGGAAUAUUGGUCAAUGGACGCAAGUCUGAACCAGCCAUGCCGCGUGGAGGAUGAAGGUCCUCUGGAUUGUAAACUUCUUUUAUCUGGGAAGAAAUGCCAGAAUUCUUUUCGGUUUGACGGUACCAGAUGAAUAAGCACCGGCUAACUCCGUGCCAGCAGCCGCGGUAAUACGGAGGGUGCAAGCGUUAUCCGGAUUCACUGGGUUUAAAGGGUGCGUAGGUGGGCAGUUAAGUCAGUGGUGAAAUCUCCGGGCUUAACCCGGAAACUGCCAUUGAUACUAUCUGUCUUGAAUACCGUGGAGGUGAGCGGAAUAUGUCAUGUAGCGGUGAAAUGCUUAGAUAUGACAUAGAACACCAAUUGCGAAGGCAGCUCACUACCCGUGUUAUUGACACUGAGGCACGAAAGCGUGGGGAUCAAACAGGAUUAGAUACCCUGGUAGUCCACGCC